UACAGAGGGUGCAACCGUUGUUCGGAUUUACUGGGCGUAAAGCGCGUGUAGGCGGCUUUGCAAGUCGGAUGUGAAAGCCCACGGCUCAACCGUGGAAGUGCAUCCGAAACUGCAUGGCUUGAGUCUCGGAGAGGAAGGUGGAAUGCUUGGUGUAGAGGUGAAAUUCGUAGAUAUCAAGCAGAACACCUGCGGCGAAGGCGGCCUUCUGGACGAUGACUGACGCUGAGACGCGAAAGCGUGGGGAGCAAACAGG
RNAcentral lists this ribosomal RNA (253 nucleotides) under uncultured bacterium. RNAcentral's name for it is "partial 16S ribosomal RNA". It matches the Rfam family "Bacterial small subunit ribosomal RNA", at positions 524 to 776 of the family's 1533-position model. The record is from RNAcentral.